Molecule: ribosomal RNA, 478 nt
Filed under: uncultured bacterium
Lineage: Bacteria
Description: partial 16S ribosomal RNA
Rfam family: Bacterial small subunit ribosomal RNA
Source: RNAcentral
AUGAACGCUAGCGGGAGGCCUAGCACAUGCAAGCCGAGCGGUAGAGUCUCUUCGGAGACUUGAGAGCGGCGCACGGGUGCGGAACACGUGUGCAACCUGCCUUUAUCUGGGGGAUAGCCUUUCGAAAGGAAGAUUAAUACCCCAUAAUAUACUGGAUGGCAUCAUCUGGUAUUGAAAACUCCGGUGGAUAGAGAUGGGCACGCGCAAGAUUAGAUAGUUGGUGAGGUAACGGCUCACCAAGUCAGCGAUCUUUAGGGGGCCUGAGAGGGUGAUCCCCCACACUGGUACUGAGACACGGACCAGACUCCUACGGGAGGCAGCAGUGAGGAAUAUUGGACAAUGGGUGAGAGCCUGAUCCAGCCAUCCCGCGUGAAGGACGACGGCCCUAUGGGUUGUAAACUUCUUUUGUAUAGGGAUAAACCUAGAUACGUGUAUCUAGCUGAAGGUACUAUACGAAUAAGCACCGGCUAACUCCGUG